UGAGGAAUAUUGGACAAUGGGAGCAAUCCUGAUCCAGCCAUGCCGCGUGCAGGAAGACGGUCCUAUGGAUUGUAAACUGCUUUUAUACAGGAAGAAAAAGGAGUACGUGUACUCUAUUGACGGUACUGUAUGAAUAAGGAUCGGCUAACUCCGUGCCAGCAGCCGCGGUAAUACGGAGGAUCCGAGCGUUAUCCGGAAUUAUUGGGUUUAAAGGGUCCGUAGGCGGGAUAAUAAGUCAGUGGUGAAAGUUUGUGGCUCAACCAUAAAAUUGCCAUUGAUACUGUUAUUCUUGAGUUAUUGUGAAGUGGUUAGAAUGUGUAGUGUAGCGGUGAAAUGCAUAGAUAUUACACAGAAUACCAAUUGCGAAGGCAGAUCACUAACAAUCGACUGACGCUGAUGGACGAAAGCGUAGGUAGCGAACAGG
Molecule: ribosomal RNA, 424 nt
Filed under: uncultured bacterium
Lineage: Bacteria
Description: bacterial SSU rRNA
Rfam family: Bacterial small subunit ribosomal RNA
Source: RNAcentral